CCUACGGGAGGCAGCAGUGAGGAAUAUUGGUCAAUGGACGGAAGUCUGAACCAGCCAUGCCGCGUGCAGGAAGACGGCUCUAUGAGUUGUAAACUGCUUUUGUACAAGGGUAAACCUGAAUACGUGUAUUCUGCUGAAAGUACUGUACGAAUAAGGAACGGCUAACUCCGUGCCAGCAGCCGCGGUAAUACGGAGGAUCCAAGCGUUAUCCGGAUUUAUUGGGGUUAAAGGGUGCGUAGGCGGAUUGAUAAGUUAGAGGUGAAAUGUCCGGGCUUAACUCGGGAACUGCCUCUAAUACUGUUGAUCUAGAGAAUAGAUGCGGUAGGCGGAAUGUAUGGUGUAGCGGUGAAAUGCUUAGAGAUCAUACAGAACACCGAUUGCGAAGGCAGCUUACCAAUCUAUAUCUGACGUUGAGGCACGAAAGCGUGGGGAGCAAACAGGAUUAGAUACCCGAGUAGUC
Molecule: ribosomal RNA, 460 nt
Filed under: uncultured bacterium
Lineage: Bacteria
Description: partial 16S ribosomal RNA
Rfam family: Bacterial small subunit ribosomal RNA
Source: RNAcentral